Pantherophis guttatus is the source of this 414-nucleotide long non-coding RNA. RefSeq lists it as uncharacterized. Lineage: Eukaryota; Metazoa; Chordata; Lepidosauria; Squamata; Colubridae. The record is from RefSeq and is a predicted model, not a curated record.
CAGGACCCCCUCCCACAUUUAAAAAUUAUGGAAGACCUCAAAAAAGAGCUUUUGUUUGAACAUGCAUGAACCAUGACUGCCAGAAAGAGGACCUUCCCAUGGGAGGAGCAACUCCCCAGAAAUUUGCACAGCUCCCAUCCUACAAGAGUUCCACAAGUCUUUGAAAAUGUAGAUGUGCUCCCUGCAGUGAGAUUACAGUAUUAUAUGCUCUAAUUGGAAAAAGUCCAGCACUAUCACAAUGGAGGAAUGGUUGGUGAAGAUGAUGAUGAUUUCAAAAAGUAGAAUAACAACCUGCCCCCCCCCAUUUUCCUAACUGAGAUUUGAAAGAAGAGAAAGCAGUAUGUGAGUUAUAAAUAUUGUGAAUGUGAAAUUUUAGCGUAAUUCCAAUAUGUAAUAAAUUCUAAUAUCUUUCAA